AGAGCUGCAAUACUGAAAUAGUCACUGCGAUAUUGGCCCGGUUCAUUCAGAGCUUAAGCGUUUAAGCUGAAUGCUUGCUGGUGGACUUUGAUUGAGCCGUGCCAAUAUCUUAGUGCUUACUUCAAACACCAUGCAGCCC
This 139-nucleotide microRNA precursor is filed under the name Citrus sinensis (sweet orange). The record is from RNAcentral. Lineage: Eukaryota; Viridiplantae; Streptophyta; Magnoliopsida; Sapindales; Rutaceae.